GGGACUGUGGCCUAGUGGCUAGUGCCUUUGCUAUUGAAUCUGACAUCCCGGGUUCGAUCCCCCUCGGGGUCA
Molecule: non-coding RNA, 72 nt
Organism: Caenorhabditis brenneri
Lineage: Eukaryota; Metazoa; Nematoda; Chromadorea; Rhabditida; Rhabditidae
Source: the annotation of a GenBank genome assembly